UUCCCCUUCGGGGGACAAAGUGACAGGUGGUGCAUGGUUGUCGUCAGCUCGUGUCGUGAGAUGUUGGGUUAAGUCCCGCAACGAGCGCAACCCUUAAGCUUAGUUGCCAUCAUUAAGUUGGGCACUCUAAGUUGACUGCCGGUGACAAACCGGAGGAAGGUGGGGAUGACGUCAAAUCAUCAUGCCCCUUAUGAUUUGGGCUACACACGUGCUACAAUGGACAAUACAAAGGGCAGCGAAACCGUGAGGUCAAGCAAAUCCCAUAAAGUUGUUCUCAGUUCGGAUUGUAGUCUGCAACUCGACUACAUGAAGCUGGAAUCGCUAGUAAUCGUAGAUCAGCAUGCUACGGUGAAUACGUUCCCGGGUCUUGUACACACCGCCCGUCACACCACGAGAGUUUGUAACACCCGAAGCCGGUGGAGUAACCUUUUAGGAGCUAGCCGUCGAAGGUGGGACAAAUGAUUGGGGUGAAGUCGUAACAAGGUAGCCGUAUCGGAAGGUGCGGCUGGAUCACCUCCUUUCUAAGGA
Molecule: ribosomal RNA, 528 nt
Filed under: Staphylococcus aureus
Lineage: Bacteria; Bacillati; Bacillota; Bacilli; Caryophanales; Staphylococcaceae
Description: bacterial SSU rRNA
Rfam family: Bacterial small subunit ribosomal RNA
Source: RNAcentral